GUUUACAACUAAUUGAUCACAACCAG
Molecule: non-coding RNA, 26 nt
Filed under: Cricetulus griseus (Chinese hamster)
Lineage: Eukaryota; Metazoa; Chordata; Mammalia; Rodentia; Cricetidae
Source: RNAcentral